This 1256-nucleotide long non-coding RNA is filed under the name Monodelphis domestica (gray short-tailed opossum). RNAcentral describes it as "lncRNA (ENSMODG00000034714.2)". The record is from RNAcentral. Lineage: Eukaryota; Metazoa; Chordata; Mammalia; Didelphimorphia; Didelphidae.
AUUGGGAACCAGACAGACCAAAAUAGAAUAUUCUGAAUAUGAAACUUAGUGAUCUUGUUACUUUAUUUUCCAAAAUAUUCAAAUUUACUUCCCAUAUUUCACUUUGCUUAUACUGUAAAUUCAUUUUAUAAUUUCACCACUUUAUUUUUCACUUUUAGUAUUUGGGUUCAUUUACCUUAGUAUAUUCACCUUUAAAACAUUGUUGCAUAAAGUCGAGUUUGGAAAGGGUCUGUGCAGUCUAUAUGCCUGGGUAGAAUCUUUUUUGAUGUUGCAGGGUAAUUGGAGUCUUCCUGUGAGAACUCUGGCAAUAGCUUUUCAUUGUAGAGAAAACAAUGUCUUUGAGUGUAGUCAGCUGUCUGUCUGUUGCUUAGUGGGAAGAAAGAAGAUGUUAGGAAAGAUAGCAAAAAGUUAACCUCAAACCUGCUGUUAUGGACUUGACAGCUGAACAGAUGUUUUUUCUCUGUGGGAGAUUGUUAACCUGUUACCAGCAACUCUGAUCCUUCUUGAACCUGCUACAAUAUUAAUGGAGGACAACAGACAGGGCAGGCAAGUAUGUCCCAGGCCAAGUCCUAGGAGUUCUGUGUGGAAUGCUGACCUGCAGGAUCUUAUGCUGUCCACUUGCCUGUUAUUCCCUGCUAGAAAUCCCUUACUACAAAAGGAAUACCAACAGAAGUUACCAUUUGCUUUGCUACUGCAUCAUGAGGUACUACAGGUUCAGCAAUCAAUUUUGGUUGAGGUCCUGAUCAUUCCAGUGAAUUUAGUGAACUACAUGAUAUGAAAUUGUUUUGAUUUUCUAGGAUUCUCUAAAUAUACUAUCACAUGAUGGAAUACCAUUUUGCUAUAAGGAAUGAUGAACAAGAUGAUAUCGCAUGUACUAGAAAGACCAAUGUGAACUGAUACAGAGUGAAAUAAGCAGAAUCAGGAGAAUAUUAUACACUGUAACUGGAAUAUGGUGGAAUGAUCUAAUAUGAUACACUUUGCUACUAACAGUAAUGCAGUGAUCCAGGACAAUUCUGAGGGUCUUAUGAAAAAGAAUGCUAUCUACCUCUAGAGAAAGAACAGUUAGAAUAGAAAUGCAGAUAAAAAUAUAUGACUUUUUAUUUCUCUAUUUGGGUAUGUGAUUUGGGGUUUUGGUUUUAUAAGAUUAUUCUCUCAUGAAAACAUGGAAAAUAUAUUUUCUAAGUGAUAAAACAUGUAUAAUUGUUUGUCAACUCCAGAAGAGGGGAGGGAAACAUCAUGAAUCAUAUGACAUUGGA